RNAcentral lists this ribosomal RNA (589 nucleotides) under Trichoderma asperellum. RNAcentral describes it as "eukaryotic LSU rRNA". The stretch from base 199 to 352 matches the Rfam family "5.8S ribosomal RNA". Lineage: Eukaryota; Fungi; Ascomycota; Sordariomycetes; Hypocreales; Hypocreaceae. The record is from RNAcentral.
GAGGGGGGAUCAUUACCGAGUUUACAACUCCCAAACCCAAUGUGAACGUUACCAAACUGUUGCCUCGGCGGGGUCACGCCCCGGGUGCGUCGCAGCCCCGGAACCAGGCGCCCGCCGGAGGAACCAACCAAACUCUUUCUGUAGUCCCCUCGCGGACGUAUUUCUUACAGCUCUGAGCAAAAAUUCAAAAUGAAUCAAAACUUUCAACAACGGAUCUCUUGGUUCUGGCAUCGAUGAAGAACGCAGCGAAAUGCGAUAAGUAAUGUGAAUUGCAGAAUUCAGUGAAUCAUCGAAUCUUUGAACGCACAUUGCGCCCGCCAGUAUUCUGGCGGGCAUGCCUGUCCGAGCGUCAUUUCAACCCUCGAACCCCUCCGGGGGAUCGGCGUUGGGGAUCGGGACCCCUCACACGGGUGCCGGCCCCGAAAUACAGUGGCGGUCUCGCCGCAGCCUCUCCUGCGCAGUAGUUUGCACAACUCGCACCGGGAGCGCGGCGCGUCCACGUCCGUAAAACACCCAACUUUCUGAAAUGUUGACCUCGGAUCAGGUAGGAAUACCCGCUGAACUUAAGCAUAUCAAUAAGGCGGAGGAA